GCGCUCACUUUGGCAGCACGUACACAGAUUGGAACGAUACAGAGAAGAGUGGCAGAGCCCCUGCACGAGGGUGAGGCACACGGAUUCGGGAAGGUUCCCUGUUUUA
Molecule: small nuclear RNA, 106 nt
Organism: Octodon degus (degu)
Lineage: Eukaryota; Metazoa; Chordata; Mammalia; Rodentia; Octodontidae
Source: Ensembl